RNAcentral lists this ribosomal RNA (533 nucleotides) under Miichthys miiuy (Mi-iuy croaker). RNAcentral describes it as "partial 16S ribosomal RNA". It matches the Rfam family "Bacterial large subunit ribosomal RNA", at positions 603 to 1344 of the family's 2925-position model. Lineage: Eukaryota; Metazoa; Chordata; Actinopteri; Sciaenidae. The record is from RNAcentral.
ACCUUUUGCAUCAUGAUUUAGCCAGAAAAUCUCAAGCAAAGAGCACUUUAGUUUGAUUCCCCGAAACUACGUGAGCUACUCCAAGACAGCCUAACAUAGGGCAAACCGGUCUCUGUGGCAAAAGAGUGGGAAGAGCUUUGAGUAGAGGUGACAGACCUACCGAACCUAGUUAUAGCUGGUUGCCUGAGAAAUGAAUAGAAGUUCAGCCUAUCGGAUUCUUCCCUCACCUUUAUAUUUUUUACAACAACCAAAAGAAACCGAAAGAGUUAGUCAAAGGGGGUACAGCCCCUUUGACACAAGACACAACUUUUCCAGGAGGGUAAAGAUCAUACUCAAACACCAAGGUAAGAUGUUUUGGUGGGCCUAAAAGCAGCCACCCCUACAGAAUGCGUUAAAGCUCAAACAUACCUACCACCCAUAAUCCUGACAACCCUAUCUUAACCCCCUAACCCUACCAGGCCAUCCCAUGCAAACAUGGGAGUGACCAUGCUAAUAUGAGUAAUAAGAGAGCAUUAGCCUCUCUCCCUGCACAA